RNAcentral lists this ribosomal RNA (439 nucleotides) under uncultured bacterium. RNAcentral describes it as "partial 16S ribosomal RNA". It matches the Rfam family "Bacterial small subunit ribosomal RNA", at positions 339 to 795 of the family's 1533-position model. The record is from RNAcentral.
CUACGGGUGGCUGCAGUAGGGAAUCUUAGACAAUGGGGGAAACCCUGAUCUAGCCAUGCCGCGUGAGUGAUGAAGGCCCUAGGGUUGUAAAACUCUUUCGCCUGGGAAGAUAAUGACGGUACCAGGUAAAGAAGCCCCGGCUAACUCCGUGCCAGCAGCCGCGGUAAUACGGGGGGGGCUAGCGUUGUUCGGAAUUACUGGGCGUAAAGCGCGCGUAGGCGGACUUUUAAGUCAGGGGUGAAAUCCCGGGGCUCAACCCCGGAACUGCCCUUGAUACUGGGAGUCUUGAGUUCGAGAGAGGUGAGUGGAAUUCCGAGUGUAGAGGUGAAAUUCGUAGAUAUUCGGAGGAACACCAGUGGCGAAGGCGGCUCACUGGCUCGAUACUGACGCUGAGGUGCGAAAGCGUGGGGAGCAAACAGGAUUAGAUACCCCCGUAGUC